GACGAACGCUGGCGGCGUGCCUAACACAUGCAAGUCGAACGAGAACGGGUUAUAGCUUGCUAUAAUUGUCAGCUAAGUGGCGCACGGGUGAGUAAUGUAUAGGUAAUAUGCCUCUUACUAAGGGAUAACAAAUGGAAACGUUUGCUAAUACCUUAUACUCCUUAUUAACAUAAGUUAAUAAGGGAAAGAUUUAUUGGUAAGAGAUUAGCCUGUAUUGUAUCAGUUAGUUGGUGGGGUAAUGGCUUACCAAGACUAUGACACAUAACUGGUUUGAGAGGAUGAUCAGUCACACUGGAACUGAGACACGGUCCAGACUCCUACGGGAGGCAGCAGUGGGGAAUAUUGCACAAUGGACGAAAGUCUGAUGCAGCAACGCCGCGUGGAGGAUGACACAUUUCGGUGCGUAAACUCCUUUUAUAUGAGAAGAUAAUGACGGUAUUAUAUGAAUAAGCACCGGCUAACUCCGUGCCAGCCGCCGCCGUAA
This 484-nucleotide ribosomal RNA is filed under the name uncultured bacterium. RNAcentral describes it as "partial 16S ribosomal RNA". It matches the Rfam family "Bacterial small subunit ribosomal RNA", at positions 28 to 523 of the family's 1533-position model. The record is from RNAcentral.